UACGGAGGGGGCUAGCGUUGUUCGGAAUUACUGGGCGUAAAGCGCACGUAGGCGGAUUGUUAAGUCGGGGGUGAAAUCCUGGGGCUCAACCUCAGAAUUGCCUUCGAUACUGGCAGUCUUGAGUACGGGAGAGGUGAGUGGAAUUCCCAGUGUAGAGGUGAAAUUCGUAGAUAUUGGGAAGAACACCAGUGGCGAAGGCGGCUCACUGGCCCGUAACUGACGCUGAGGUGCGAAAGCGUGGGGAGCAAACAGG
RNAcentral lists this ribosomal RNA (253 nucleotides) under uncultured bacterium. RNAcentral's name for it is "partial 16S ribosomal RNA". It matches the Rfam family "Bacterial small subunit ribosomal RNA", at positions 524 to 776 of the family's 1533-position model. The record is from RNAcentral.